Cicer arietinum (chickpea) is the source of this 1753-nucleotide non-coding RNA. The record is from RefSeq and is a predicted model, not a curated record. Lineage: Eukaryota; Viridiplantae; Streptophyta; Magnoliopsida; Fabales; Fabaceae.
UUUAUAAGUUGAAGUGAAAAUAAAAACAUGAAGUACACAAAGUAAAGUAAAUGAUCUAAAAUAAAAAUAUAGUGUGACACAAGUGAUAGAUGUUUGAUCGUUUAACUAUUUAGUUGGAGGUUUGAUCAAUGAUAGCUCGUUAGUAUAUACUGAGAAAUAUAUACAGGAGAUAUCAACCCCAUUAAUAAAUUUUAAUUACAUUGAGUGAUUAGUCUCGUAAUUUCACGCAUGAUAUCUUUUUUGAAAAAAGGAUCCUAAGAUUGAUAAAAUUGGUAUUUCAAUUUCUGUUAAAAUGGGAAGAAGAAAAAAGAAACAAAUAAAAUGAAUAAGUUAAUGUGGGUCUGUUGGGAGGGGGGCAUGUCAAUGUCCAAUAGGAGUAAUGAGCUGGAUAUGGAAGGUGACAAGAAGUUGCAAAUUGCAUUAUUGUUUGUUCUAAUCUAAUCUCAUGGCCUUGUGAAUUAUCAGUCCUUCCUACCACUUGAUAUCCCAUCUGUCAAUAUAUGAUUCCAAAUUGUCCAUUUCCUCGUUUGGUCACCUUGCUUUUAUUAGUAAUUUUGACAGCAAAAUUUCACCUCAUUUGCUGGACAAUCAUGCUUAUCAUUAAUAUUUAAUACUAUAUGAUAGUGAGUUUUCACAUUGAUAAAAACAAAAUUGUGUUAUUUAUUUACAUGUAUGUUAUGGUAUAUACCCUUACCAAAAUAGAAUCAAUCACAUGGUGAAUUUGAAAGCGUGUGAAUAUUACAAAGUCUGACUCAUUCACUUAAAUUUGUGUAUAUAUGAUCCACAGUGAGAAUAUGAAAUCAAUUAUGAUGGGGAUCAUUUAAGAGAUUCCUUUGCAAUAAUAAUAUGUAUCCUUCUCAAGAAAACUAUACUCAUUCAUUACCCACUAAAGCAGUAGUUAGGUACAGGUGUGGUGUGGGAAUUAUUUGUCUUGUUUAGAGAAGUUAUUAAUUAGUAAUUUAAAACAUAUUCGUUCUGAUGUGAUCCAGUGUAUAAAGGAAUCAAACCGAAGUAUUGCCUUCUCAUGCAGCCGACAGGGUCGCACCGUACCAUGGUAUCAAGUUCAUCUAAUACAUGGUGGCAGCAAGUAAACAGAGCUAUCAGGAGGAAGAGAUAAGCUGUUGGAGAAAUGGUUUUCAAUUUUUAUUAUUCGACGAAGUAAAUAUGGUAGCCCAUCAAUCAAAUCUAACUAGCUAAAAUCAAGCAUAAGAUAGAACGUUUUAUCAACGCCAACCAGUAACCACCAACCUCUCUUCAUUCUCCAAUCAGUUGCACUUUUGAAUAUUCAUCUUCACUCUCUCAAAGUUGUUCCAUGCUAUUGGGAACACGAUUGGUUUCUAGUAGAAUUGCUUGUAAAAAGAGUACGCACUAGAGCUGAAAUAUCUACUGUUAUAUCAUAUAUGCAUGGUGACUUGUAAUCAAUUGUUACAAAAGUGAACUUUAUUUUUUGGUUAAUUAAGAUGUAUCUUUCUAAUACAGAAUAAAUUAAGAGCAACGUUGAACAAUAAUGUAAAAAGUAAUAUUGCAAAAAAAGACUUUAAACAACAUUGUUAUGGAAAUUGAUGGAAAAUAGAAUGUCUCUAGUCUGGAAUUAGAGAGAGUGAAAAUUCGUUCAAGCAACAUUUACACCUACCACAACAUUAAUCACAACACUUACGAAAAUUAUUAAGCUGAUGUGAUGUUCAAACUUCCGACAUGAAUUAAAUACCAGCUUGAUCUGGUCAUGUUUCCAAGCAUAUAAGAAGCCUCGGGG